GCUACAUAGCGUUAUUCCUCAUAAUCAUCAUCAUCCUCUCAAACGGUCAACGCAAGCCUGAACAUCACUCCUAGCCCCAGCAGGCUCCACAACACACCUUUCUGCUGCAUACCGACACUGCCGGUCGAUUGUGCCCCGCUAGAAGAGCUCAAAGUGGUCCCAUUAAUAGCCGCUUCUUCCGAGGUGAUGGGCAUUCUUUUGCUGUGAAGAAGGGUGACGUUCGUGGUCAAAGGCGCAAACCCGAUAGCUGUGGGUUCGUAUCGGAAGGAGGUGUAUACGUUUUUGAGGAAUGCGGCGCCGACAAUCCAUUGGACUGGAGAUUUCGGAGACCUGCAUACACAACAUGGCGUUAUUUCCUAAUAAAGGGACAGAGAAAAUGUACUAGCUUACACAUCUUGCCCAAAGAACGUUCCAAUACAGAUCUUGCCAUCAUCGGUAAAAGUCCCAAAAUUCAUGUCCGUAUUGGAGAUUCCAUACUCUACGCCGCCAAACUUGAGUUUCACAUCAACAUUGGUAUCGCACGGGUACUGAUAAUAUCCCUCUUGCCCCAUAACCGAGGUUGGCACUUUGGAGGAGCCGGGGAUUUGGGCAUAAAUCGCAGCGGCCAUGUCAGUCGGCACGCCGAUGAGGGUGGUGCCAGUAUCGAUAGCACAAGCAGGGGCCUUGCCGCCGGUUAGGAGGCCUUUAGACUGAGGGCAAGAUUAGACAGUGUCAUGGCGAGCAAAAUUUGGGAAGACUAACGACAUCGAUAGGGUUCCCACCCACUGUCAUACCCUCCAAAGGAAGCUUCCAAAAAUCCCUCUUCCCUGGUCCGAUUGGAGUGUAAUUCAAAUCACCCUCAAACUUGGUUGAAUCGACCCCGCUAUCAGGCAGUUUUAGCGUUCGUUUUUCUCUCACAACAAUGGAUCCUUACCCAAAAAUAAAAUGCCCCCCAUCAAACUCAAUCAUCUGGGCGCUGCUAUUACCUUUGAAUCUGGCGAGGUAAACACCCAUCUCUGGUGAAUCCCAAGUACCAGAUGAAGCCAAGGCUUGCCAAAAUGGGGUUGAGUAAGAGGACGCAAUGGUGUUCCACGCCAGACCCAAAAGACCUGAUGUGGGGUAAUCGAUCAGACCGUCAACAGCUUGAGUCACCACAGCUUUUAGAAAUAUAUUUAGCGAACUUGUUUGAACUUCAGCGACGGGACAUACCAAACGCUUGCUCACGGAUCGUGAACCCCCCAGUUGAGACGGUGUCAUUUGCUAAAUAGCCUCCCGCAUUACCGGAUCCGUAAGCAAUGCUGAACUGCUUUUUUUCAGUUUCGAAUGUGAAUGAAUUGCUGGCAUCAAAGGUGUAUGUCUUGGAGCAAAAGUCGGCGGUACAUCCUUUCUCCGCCACCCAGCUACAAAAGCCAUCGGGGUCAGUGCUCUACAGAAGAAGCGACGUAGAGUGCGUCGGAUUCAAUUUCUCACAGAUCAGACGAUCCAGUAUCCAUGAUGACAAUGAACUGCUGAGGUGGGGUGCUGUAAAAGUCAGCGGACAAAUCGACAGUCAAGCAAAGUUUCAGCGUUAGCUCACCCAAUCUCUAUAGGAGCACUGUAUAAACCGUCAAGGCCAAUAUCAAUCAAGCUAGAAUGCAUUGUCAGUAGGUGAGUAUGUUGAAUCAUUCAACACUCACUCUAUAGACUGUUGAGCUCUUUUCAUCUGUCCUUCUUUUUCCAUUCUAUCCCUCUUUAACAGCUCCUUCCCCUUCUCGUUGAGAUAUGGCUCGUAUUUUGCCCUCAUAGAUUUUGCCUGGCUGAUCAGCCAUGCUUGACGUUGUGAGAGAUCAUCAGAGUGCUGGCGAGAUUCGAGCACUUUCAAUGGUAGAUGGAGGGAAGAAGGGACCUUAGGCAACGUUGCUGCAAGGGUGAGUGGUAGGAGAGCGAGGGAAAUGAGCAUGGCAGAUACCAAGGGCAGGCAAUGGGUUUCUUCGGGUUCAGAGUAAUAGGAACAUGAAAUAUAAAGAGUUGCCUUGUUUACGAGUUCUUUGCCAAGUUGAAUGUUUGUGCAAGCAG
Molecule: small RNA, 2034 nt
Filed under: Cryptococcus neoformans H99
Lineage: Eukaryota; Fungi; Basidiomycota; Tremellomycetes; Tremellales; Cryptococcaceae
Description: Cryptococcus neoformans var. grubii H99 hypothetical RNA
Source: RNAcentral